This 75-nucleotide transfer RNA is filed under the name Schistocerca americana (American grasshopper). RNAcentral describes it as "tRNA-Ser". It matches the Rfam family "tRNA". From Rfam's summary of the family: Transfer RNA (tRNA) molecules are approximately 80 nucleotides in length. Their secondary structure includes four short double-helical elements and three loops (D, anti-codon, and T loops). RNAcentral also lists the same sequence under 5 other names. The record is from RNAcentral. Lineage: Eukaryota; Metazoa; Arthropoda; Insecta; Orthoptera; Acrididae.
UGCUUGGGUAGCUCAGUUGGUAGAGCACUUGCCCGUGAAAGGCAAAGGUCCCGAGUUCGAGUCUCGGUCCAGCAC